UGAGGCUAAAAUUAGAUUCUACUUCCUGGUUGGUCGGACUACCUUCAAUCCAAAGGUGCACAUGCCAUACGCAAUCUGUGUUUCAAAAAUGCUGAAAUAUAUUUACUUGGCAAGUUUUGUACAAAUAUGCUGUGGGCAGGCUAUCACAACCAUAGAUGCCUCUUUUCCACAACAUGCGGAACUCUACAGUGCACAGAGAAUAUCCUGUAGCAUAGCUGGAACACUGAAAACUGGUGUUCAGUGGAUCAGGCCUGAUGCUCUUUUGGUAUCUUCAUGUGCAGGUGCUACAAAUUGUCUGCCAGAUUCAGGAUACAGUAAUCCUGUAGCCACUACCACA
This is a long non-coding RNA of Haliotis rubra (blacklip abalone), 337 nucleotides long. RefSeq lists it as uncharacterized. The record is from RefSeq and is a predicted model, not a curated record. The transcript is spliced from 3 exons. Lineage: Eukaryota; Metazoa; Mollusca; Gastropoda; Lepetellida; Haliotidae.